Molecule: long non-coding RNA, 1032 nt
Filed under: Pan troglodytes (chimpanzee)
Lineage: Eukaryota; Metazoa; Chordata; Mammalia; Primates; Hominidae
Description: long non-coding RNA NONPTRT008271
Source: RNAcentral
AGACUAAUCACCCAACUCCCUUAUUCCCAGGCCCCUGCCAGAGGUGAUUUUAAACUGACAUCUCAGUCACUCCCCAGCUUAGAACACCAUGGCUUCCCCACCACUCACAGUCAAAUCCCAAGUUCCAGCCCCUGCAGAAACCCCCUCACUAUCACUGUGGCCUUCCAGCCAAAUUUUUGCUUUUCCUGACAAUGCUCAGCAGGCUUCUGCUUUCCAUUCCUUUGUCCUCCAUCUCAGAGCCCCCAGGGAGCAUCCUCACCACAUUCCCCAGUACCAUCCUCCCACUCUUUACCUCUCCUGCAGCACUGCAGAGCCGCCUCCCUGACACGGCCAAGGUCCAAGGGAACCUCCCCACAGCUUUUCGGGGUCCUCUGCAGCUGUGGAGUCCCCACACUACCUAUGUUUUCCUACUCAUGCCCCAGUCUCAGGAGUUCCUGGGGCCUUCAUCCCACCACCUCUGAGGGCUUUCUACCCCUGGGCCUGUAAACCCAUCCUCCCUUGCUGCCAGCCUAUAACGGGACAGCUGGAAACCAGAGAGACACAGGAGGGUCCCUGGAGCAUAGUUUCCCAACCUGCCAGGACCCCCUGCCAAGGCUCCAUCCCCAUCAUGUGCAUCCCAGGCUGCUCAAGUUUCCACCACCACCCUUCCAAAGGCCAGGACAGGCUUCUGCUUCCCUACCCAGCCUCAGGAUCCCCCUCCACAGAAGCCAGUGCCUGCUGCUCCACAGAGUGGGGCUUUCCCCUCCCCCACAUACCUUGCACUUGGGGGAAGGCUCAAUUUCCAGGCCCCCUGCUACCCAAAAGUAACAGAACAGUGCCAGUGCCCUGUAACUAGUGCUCAAUUCCCCCUCAGGUUUAACUCUCCGAUGAGAGAUUGCUCCCUCUCCUCCCCUGCCCUGGCUCACCCGAGUGGAUGAACAUGUGCUUGGUGUAGUUUUUCCGGGAGCUGAACGUCUUGCGACAGUGGCUGCACUCAUAGCUUUUACCAGGCCCCUUCGUGAUCUCAUUCCUCAGGGAGCAGUUCUCACUUCC